Molecule: non-coding RNA, 605 nt
Organism: Onthophagus taurus
Lineage: Eukaryota; Metazoa; Arthropoda; Insecta; Coleoptera; Scarabaeidae
Source: RefSeq, a predicted model, not a curated record
UUUAAUAAUAAAUGAUUUAAUUUAAAAACUAAUAAUUAAUAAAUAAAAUAAUGUCGGAUUUAGUAAAAAAAUGCGUAGUUCGCGUCGAAGUCGAAAACAACAACGAAGAGUUGGAAGGAGCCGAAGGUGGUGAUUUAACGAGUUCGAAAAUCCGUCGUCAUCGAAACAUUCGUGGAAUUAGCGUUGAAACGUUUCCGAGUUGAUUAGAAACCCCCAGAAAUGAUUGGGGGCUCCUUCCGGAACAUUCUCGAGAUAACACGAAAUUAUUAACCCUUUCGUUAUUAAGAGCGUACGCAUACGUUUUUGUAUAUGUGGGCUUGCUAAAUGAUCUUGAAAAUACUCCGUAACGAAAGGGUUAAAAGAUAGCUUUGAGGAGAAAAGUGAGAUUGGAUUUUUUAGUGGUAACCCAUUCGUUGAAUUAACUAAAGGAAUUUUGCAUCUAUAUAAAGAAGAUGCCUUAUCGAGUAGCGCCGAAGCGUUAACUUUAUGCAUACUUGGAGUUCCUAAUUCAAUGACUUGCCAUCUUUUAAACUACACAGCUCUGUGUCAUGCCGAAAUAAAUGCGUCAAGUUUGGACUCACUUUAAAGGUUAUUUUAUGAAGAUU